GUCUAUGGCCAUAACACCCUGAAUAUGUCUGACCUUGUCCGAUCUCAGAAGCUACGCAGGGUUGGGCUGGUUUGUACUAGGAUGGGAAACCAAUUCAGGGUACUCUGGGAUAGGGAAC
Molecule: non-coding RNA, 118 nt
Organism: Erinaceus europaeus (western European hedgehog)
Lineage: Eukaryota; Metazoa; Chordata; Mammalia; Eulipotyphla; Erinaceidae
Source: Rfam